CCUACGGGUGGCAGCAGUGAGGAAUAUUGGUCAAUGGUCGGGAGACUGAACCAGCCAAGCCGCGUGAGGGAUGAAGGUACAGAGUAUCGUAAACCUCUUUUGUCAGGGAACAAAGGCGGGGACGUGUCCCCGGAUGAGUGUACCUGAAGAAAAAGCAUCGGCUAACUCCGUGCCAGCAGCCGCGGUAAUACGGGGGAUGCGAGCGUUAUCCGGAUUUAUUGGGUUUAAAGGGUGCGCAGGCGGUCUGUUAAGUCAGCGGUAAAAGCCCGGGGCACAACCCCGGCCCGCCGUUGAAACUGGCAGUCUCGAGUUGGAGAGAAGUAUGCGGAAUGCGCGGUGUAGCGGUGAAAUGCGUAGAUAUCGCGCAGAACUCCGAUUGCGAAGGCAGCAUGCCGGCUCCACACUGACGCUGAGGCACGAAAGCGUGGGUAUCGAACAGGAUUAGAUACCCUUGUAGUC
This 459-nucleotide ribosomal RNA is filed under the name uncultured bacterium. RNAcentral describes it as "partial 16S ribosomal RNA". It matches the Rfam family "Bacterial small subunit ribosomal RNA", at positions 338 to 795 of the family's 1533-position model. The record is from RNAcentral.